Molecule: long non-coding RNA, 634 nt
Filed under: Homo sapiens (human)
Lineage: Eukaryota; Metazoa; Chordata; Mammalia; Primates; Hominidae
Description: long non-coding RNA NONHSAT219117.1
Source: RNAcentral
CGGAGACCGGUUCCCGUCCGCCGGCCGCGCCGCCACCCCAAGCUCCGCGAACCCCGCGCCCCUUUUUGUUCCGCGUCCUCCAGCAUUACUCUACUGACUGGCAGAGACAGGAGAGGUAGAUGUCCACGCCCACAGACCCUGGUGCGAUGCCCCACCCAGGGCCUUCGCCGGGGCCUGGGCCUUCCCCUGGGCCAAUUCUUGGGCCUAGUCCAGGACCAGGACCAUCCCCAGGUUCCGUCCACAGCAUGAUGGGGCCAAGUCCUGGACCUCCAAGUGUCUCCCAUCCUAUGCCGACGAUGGGGUCCACAGACUUCCCACAGGAAGGCAUGCAUCAAAUGCAUAAGCCCAUCGAUGGUAUACAUGACAAGGGGAUUGUAGAAGACAUCCAUUGUGGAUCCAUGAAGGGCACUGGUAUGCGACCACCUCACCCAGGCAUGGGCCCUCCCCAGAGUCCAAUGGAUCAACACAGCCAAGGUUAUAUGUCACCACACCCAUCUCCAUUAGGAGCCCCAGAGCACGUCUCCAGCCCUAUGUCUGGAGGAGGCCCAACUCCACCUCAGAUGCCACCAAGCCAGCCGGGGGCCCUCAUCCCAGGUGAUCCGCAGGCCAUGAGCCAGCCCAACAGAGGUCCCUC